GAGUGAACGCUGGCGGUAGGCCUAACACAUGCAAGUCGAACGGCAGCACAGUAAGAGCUUGCUCUUACGGGUGGCGAGUGGCGGACGGGUGCGGAAUACAUCGGAAUCUACUUUUUCGUGGGGGAUAACGUAGGGAAACUUACGCUAAUACCGCAUACGACCUACGGGUGAAAGCAGGGGAUCUUCGGACCUUGCGCGAUUGAAUGAGCCGAUGUCGGUUUAGCUAGUUGGCGGGGUAAAGGCCCACCAAGGCGACGAUCCGUAGCUGGGCUGGGAGGAUGAUCAGCGGCACUGGAACUGAGACACGGUCCAGGCUCCUGCGGGAGGCAGCAGUGGGGAAUAUUGGACAAUGGGCGCAAGCCUGAUCCAGCCAUACCGCGUGGGUGAAGAAGGCCUUCGGGUUGUAAAGCCCUUUUGUUGGGAAAGAAAAGCAGCAGGUUAAUACCCCGCUGUUCUGACGGUACCCAAAGAAUAAGCACCGGCUAACUUCGUG
This 493-nucleotide ribosomal RNA is filed under the name uncultured bacterium. RNAcentral describes it as "partial 16S ribosomal RNA". It matches the Rfam family "Bacterial small subunit ribosomal RNA", at positions 27 to 507 of the family's 1533-position model. The record is from RNAcentral.